GAGUUUGAUCUUGGCUCAGAUUGAACGCUGGCGGCAUGCCUUACACAUGCAAGUCGAACGGCAGCAUGAUCUAGCUUGCUAGAUUGAUGGCGAGUGGCGAACGGGUGAGUAAUACAUCGGAACGUGCCCUGUAGUGGGGGAUAACUAGUCGAAAGAUUAGCUAAUACCGCAUACGACCUGAGGGUGAAAGUGGGGGACCGCAAGGCCUCAUGCUAUAGGAGCGGCCGAUGUCUGAUUAGCUAGUUGGUGGGGUAAAGGCCCACCAAGGCGACGAUCAGUAGCUGGUCUGAGAGGACGAUCAGCCACACUGGGACUGAGACACGGCCCAGACUCCUACGGGAGGCAGCAGUGGGAAUUUGGACAAUGGGCGAAAGCCUGAUCCAGCAAUGCCGCGUGUGUGAAGAA
RNAcentral lists this ribosomal RNA (405 nucleotides) under uncultured microorganism. RNAcentral's name for it is "bacterial SSU rRNA". It matches the Rfam family "Bacterial small subunit ribosomal RNA", at positions 9 to 412 of the family's 1533-position model. The record is from RNAcentral.